This 5283-nucleotide long non-coding RNA is filed under the name Sus scrofa (pig). RNAcentral's name for it is "lncRNA (ENSSSCG00040057376.1)". The record is from RNAcentral. Lineage: Eukaryota; Metazoa; Chordata; Mammalia; Artiodactyla; Suidae.
CUUUUUGCCAUUUCUUGGGGCACUCCCGCGGCAUAUGGAGGUUCCCAGGCUAGGGGUCGAAUCGGAGCUGUAGCCGUUGGCCUACACCAGAGCCACAGCAACACGGGAUCCAAGCUGCAUCUGCAACCCACACCACAGCUCACAGCAACGCCGGAUCCUUAACCCGCUGAGCGAGGCCAGGGAUUGAACCUGCAAUCUCAUGGUUCCUAGUCGGAUUCACUAACCACUGAGCCAUGACGGGAACUCCUGAGGGGUUGACAGAGCAGCUGUGGCAGCACAGUGCCUGUGUGUGGAUCCCAGCUCUACCCCUCAUUAGCCAUGUGAUGUUCAAGGAGUUACUUAUGCUCUCCGACUCAAUUUUCCCAUCUGGAAAAUGGGGAUAAUAACUGUAUCGCCCUCGCUAGAUGAGGUAGAUGAAAUCAGUAUGUAUUCAAGCAUUUAGAACAGCACCUGAUUAGAGAAGUUAUCAGGAUCCCAACCACCUUGUCAGGCUGAAAUGGUGGGAUCUCAUCAAAUGAAAGCUAUGAAGAUAAAAUAUUCACAAUAAAUUAUAAUACCCAAUAAGGAAAACAACCUACAAGUCUAACACUAGGCAGUUGAUCUACAUACAUAUGAUGGAACAUGCCUGCCAUCCAAGUCAUGUGACAGAGGAAUACUAAGGCAAUGAAGACAAUGAAUCAGGAUUAGGGAGAGGAGGUGUUAGGGCAAGCGGUCUCUCAGGGAUGGUACUGAUCAGGGACCAAAAUGAGAGGCUGGAGCCAUGCAGCACUGGGAAGAGCACAGGCCCUAUAGCAGGAAAGAGCUUAGAUUGGAAGGCAGCAUACAAGCCUGGAGCACAGUGCACAAGGCCGGGAGAAGAAGGAAAUGAGGUUGGAGAGGCCAUGCCAUGCAGGGCCCUGCAAGCCAGGGGAAGCUCUAGGGUUUCAUCUCAUGUGACCUGAGAAGUUAUUGGAGGGCUGUGAGCAGGAGAGAGUUAAGAUUUUAAAGGAUCACGCUGGCUACUUUUUGGAGAACAGACUGGAGGGGGGGGUAAGAAAGGAAGUAGGGGAACCUAUUUUGGGCAAUAGUAGUUUAAUAGUUUUGCGGUAUUUUAAGAAAGAGAUGAUGGUGGCUUAGGCUGCGAGGAAAUGGUGAGAAGUGGCAGGCCCAGAAUACAUUUUGAAUAGUAUGACCUUCAUUUUGCAAAAAAAGAAAUACCCACAUUACACAUAUGCUGGGAAGAUGUACGUGCAGGAAUGAAUAGUGGUUAUCUCUGGAUCACGCUAUUUAUGGUGACUUUAAUUUUCUUCUUUGUGAUUUUCUGUAUUUUUUCCAACAAUCAUGUAGUAUUUGAGAAAUCAGAAUUUUAAAAAGGACAUUUUUGGAAAAGGAAAAGAAACAAUAAUCCGAGAGCAGGACAAAUGAGGUGUGGAUCAGUAAUAGCCUAAAGAGAUGCUGAGGAUUUGACUGACAGCAAUUUCAACACCUGUUGACAGUUUAAAUGACUAAAAAAUUAAUAACUACUAGUAAUAUGACAUAAUUUAGGGACUGCCUAAUAAGGACUUUGCUCUCAGUGGGAGGCGACUGUCCCUUGCAGUCUGCUUUAUCCAAGCCCACUUGGUGUAUCAUGUGUAGGUCUGGGUGCCACAGUCUAAGAUCUAAAUGAGCAACAGGAGAACAAUCAGGGUAGGGAGGGGGCUUCAAAUCACACACUGUAAUAACAGGAGCAGUUACCACCCACUGGGCACCUACUCUGUGGCAGGCACUUUAAAAAAUAUAAGGUAGUUAAGACAUGAGAUGCUCAAUUCAAAUGGAAGAAGAAAAGUGGCAAAUGAAUAUUUUUUGAGCACUAAUGGAGCCACUGCACUUUUUCAUACUUUAUCACAUCGAAUUCCUGCCGUGAUAUUCCGAGCUAAGUCUGUUUUGUAGAACCACAGUUCUAUGCAAUUGAAUUGUGCAAGCAAAACCGCAUCAUUGUGGACCCUGGAGCUCAAGAGCCUGGGUUCAAAUACUAGCCACUAUAUGACCUUGGGCAUGUUACCCAGUCUUCUCAGCCUCAAUUUUUUCAACUACAGAAGAGGGGUGUGACACUAAUCUCAUGGGAUUGUUCAAAGAUUGAGUUAGUUAACACAUGAGAGCAUCUAGCACAGUGCCCGGCAUAGAGUAAGCUCAAUGAACAGCAGCUGUUAUGGUUAAGAAAACAUGCCUGGGAGUUCCUGUUAUGGCUCAGUGGUUAACAAACCCAACUAGGAUCCAUGAGGAUGCAGGUUUGAUCCCUGCCCUUGCUCAGUGGGUUAAGGAUCCGGCGUUUCCGUGAGCUGUGGUAUAAGCCACAGAUACGGCUUGGAUCCUGCAUUGCUGUGGUUGUGGUGUAGGCCGGCAGCUGUAGCUCCAAUUCAACCCUUGGCCUGGGAACCUCCAUAUGCCAUGUGUGUGGCCCUGAAAAGACAAAAAGACAAAGGAAAAAAAAGAAAGAAAGAAAACAUGCCUAAAAUCACCCUGUGAGUAAGUUGGGGAAACACUGGAGAAGAAAAGAAUCUCAGUUACUUUCUAGGAGGUGAAGGUUUGUCAUAGGGAAGGAGAAGGAGGCUUGUGCUGAUUUCAAGAAGGAGAACCAGGCCCAGCAGACAUAAGUAUAACAGGGUGUUUGGUAGGAUGCAACCCAAAAUUAGUUAGCUGGAUAAUGUCGGUUUCUUUUUGGCCAAAGCAGAUACAGAUUUUCCUCAUUCAGGGAAGAGUCCUUAAGCAGUCACUCUUUCUUAUGAUGCUGUAAGAGGCCAUCCCACUGGUCUGGAAGGAGAGUCCAGUAAAGCUACCUGUGGCCUGACAAAGCCCACCUCUUUGCUUACCCUUUAACCUCUGAUGAGAGGUAGGGCAAUUGCAUGGAUUUCAAGGAGCCUCGUGGGAGGAGAUGUUAUUAGAAUCUCCCUGAUGGCUUAGGAUUGAUUCCAUAAGAAACCUUCUGGGAGGAAAAAAGUCAAAGACCCUAAAGGGAAAACUCACCAUGAGAAAAGGGGCAGUCUAGUCUGAUGGUCCGGGGAUACCAGCAAGAACGCAGGAUAACCCUUGAGGGGUUGGGGGGAGCCGAUUCUAGAAACUCUUCUGACGUGCAAUUUGAGAACAAUGGCUGAGCACUGUGAACUAAAAGAGCUGCCACUUUGGUGUCCCAGCACAAAAACCAGGCAAAGACUCUAGGGCGAGAAGAGAAUCCCCUCAGCAGUGGGAAGUGGUGCUGGACUGUGCAGAGCCAGGAUUCAGUGUCACCCCUGCUGAGAAGCAGCAACACCAACAGAUCAUGCAGACUCCCCAUGUUUUCCUCUGCCUGCAUUUGAAAUUGGAACUGACUCUUGCGGAAUGAAUUAAGACUGGGGUGUUCUUAGUGUUUUUAUACAUUUAGAAAAGGUAGGAAGUUCAGGUGGGGCAGGUUGAUAUUAAGAGAGAUUUUGGAUUUCCUAACAUGAGCAGGAAGAUGUUCUGGCAACUAACAGAGGGGAAAAGAUGUAUCUAUUAUUUGUAACCCCUACCCCAAGCUGGUAAAAUACAUCAAAUCAGUUGUGUGUAUGUAUCUAUUUAACAAGACUUGAUCAAGCUCAUCAUUAAGGAUUUUUAAAAAUGAGAAUUAAUAAUAAUAAUAGCUAAUAUUUUUUCCGUGCUUAGUAUAUGCCAAACUCUUAAUAUGCUUUAGCUCAUUGCUCCUCAUAAAACCCCUUGAGAUGGUGACUACGUUUAAUCAUCACUUUACAGAUGAGGAAACUAAUGGUGGGAGAGGCUAAAAUACCUUGUUCAAGGUCAUGCAGAAGACACUGAUGGAAUAAGAAUCAGAUGAUAGUGUCCCUGAAUCACAGAACCUAUUCUUUCAGUUACUGUAUCCUUCUACCUCCUUAUAAAGAUGGAGAGAGUGUAGAUCAGCAUGGCAUGGUAGCUGAUGAGAUUAAAAUAGGUGCAUGAUAGGGCUAGAAUACCUAUACAGUCCUUUCUUAGGCUGCAAUACAGAGAUUUUAUACUUCCUUGUAACCUUAAAAGUCUGUGUUUCAUUUAUCUCUACAGAAUUGCUAUCAAAGUGAAUUGUUUAUAUGAGUGGAAAAUAAGCGUAGGAACUACUGCCAAGGAACAUAAAGAUAAACCACAUGUUGAGAUGCAUUCUAAGUCUGUAGGUCAAAUUGCAUUACAAUGACCUUCAGAGAAGCAGUAUUUGUUCAUUCAACAAAUAUGUAUUACAUGCCAUCUAUGGGUAUUGUUCUAGGAGCUUGGUAUACAGUAGUGAGCUGUGUAAAUUGCAUAGUAUAUUAGAAGGCUUUAAGUACUUGAUCACAGUUGCAUUUGAAAUUAGGCCAGCAGAGGAGACCUCUUUGACAUCUAAGCAAACGGUUGAAGGGGGUGACAGAGUCAGCCAUGUAGGUAUCUGAAGGAGAAACAUUUUGGCAGAGGAUACAUCCAAUGCAAAGGCCUGCCUGGCUAAAGGUACUGCAAAGAGGCCCUUGUGACUAGGGCAGGGCUAGGGGAAGAGGUGAGGCCCACACAGUGGGGGAAGAGUGGCAGGUCUUCCACGCCAUUGUCAGGACUUUGGCUUUGAUACCAAGUGAGAUGAGGAACUGCUGUGGGGUUAAAAGCAGAGGAGUGACACAAUCUGACUUACAUGAGUUUAUGAAGAUGGCCCCCCUGGGUGGGGGGAGGAAGUGGGAUGUAUGGGGAGUUUGAGGUUGGUAGAUGCAAACUAUGACAUUAGAGUGGAUAAGCAAUGGGGUCCUACUGUACAGCCCAGGGAACAAUAUCCAGUCUCUUGGGAUAGAACAUAAUGGAAGAUAGUAUGAGAAAAAGAACAUACACACACACACACACACACACACACACACACACAUAUAUAUAUGACUGGGUCACUAUGCUAUACAGGAGAAAUUGGCACAACAUUGUAAAUCAACCAUACUCUAACAAAAAAUAUUCUAAAACUUAAAAAAAAAUGCACUGCAUUUUAUGUUGUUUUGACUUGAAAAUGUCCUUUAAUACUGAGAUUGUUGCUCAUAAGGAAACGGUGCUAACACCUAAACGAAUAUCUGCAUGAUGUGCUGAGAACCACACCAGUCUUGUGAUGAGAGUGGAGGUGGGGGGGGGGGUGGAUGUGAGUAAAAAUAGUUUCGUCCUUUAGUUCAGAGCAACUGGGAGGAAUAACUAAUAACAAUAGCUAUAAAGGUCACUGCAAACAUUAAGUGCUAUAAAAUACUAACCACUACUUAAAAAUAAAAAGCCUGUCAUUAUUCUUUGGCCCAGGAGUAAGGACCCCUGGCAGCCUGCAUGCCGCAGCCAGCC